Molecule: ribosomal RNA, 566 nt
Filed under: uncultured fungus
Lineage: Eukaryota; Fungi
Description: eukaryotic LSU rRNA
Rfam family: 5.8S ribosomal RNA (bases 208-361)
Source: RNAcentral
CGUAACAAGGUCUCCGUAGGUGAACCUGCGGAGGGAUCAUUACACAAAUAUGAAGGCGGGCUGGAACCUCUCGGGGUUACAGCCUCGCUGAAUUAUUCACCCUUGUCUUUUGCGUACUUCUUGUUUCCUUGGUGGGUUCGCCCACCACUAGGACAAACAUAAACCUUUUGUAAUUGCAAUCAGCGUCAGUAACAAAUUAAUAAUUACAACUUUCAACAACGGAUCUCUUGGUUCUGGCAUCGAUGAAGAACGCAGCGAAAUGCGAUAAGUAGUGUGAAUUGCAGAAUUCAGUGAAUCAUCGAAUCUUUGAACGCACAUUGCGCCCUUUGGUAUUCCAAAGGGCAUGCCUGUUCGAGCGUCAUUUGUACCCUCAAGCUUUGCUUGGUGUUGGGCGUCUUGUCUCUAGCUUUGCUGGAGACUCGCCUUAAAGUAAUUGGCAGCCGGCCUACUGGUUUCGGAGCGCAGCACAAGUCGCACUCUCUAUCAGCAAAGGUCUAGCAUCCAUUAAGCCUUUUUUUUUCAACUUUUGACCUCGGAUCAGGUAGGGAUACCUGCUGAACUUAAGC